RNAcentral lists this ribosomal RNA (469 nucleotides) under Bigelowiella longifila. RNAcentral describes it as "partial Bacterial large subunit ribosomal RNA". It matches the Rfam family "Bacterial large subunit ribosomal RNA", at positions 1403 to 1875 of the family's 2925-position model. Lineage: Eukaryota; Cercozoa; Chlorarachniophyceae. The record is from RNAcentral.
AGGCCGGGGAAGCCGAUGGCAAAGCGGUUAAAUAUUCCGCUACCGAAGCCAGCGUAUGGCUAAGGCGUGACGCAGAAGUGACACUCCCGCGUGCUGACGAAUGCACGUUAAAGGGCGUAGGCCGGGGGGCAGGCAAAUCCGCCUCCCGUUAAGGCUGAACCCCGACAGUACUCGGAUUCUCACGAUGAAGAGAUAGUGGAGGUAAUCAUGCUGCCAAGAAAAGCGUCGUAGUUUGCUGGUUCUCGCUCGUACCCCAAACCGACACAGGUGGGUGAGGAGAGUAUCCUCAGGUGCUCGAGUAAUUCAUGGCUAAGGAACUAGGCAAAUUCGAUCCGUAACUUCGGGAGAAGGAUCCCCUGACUAUGUCAGGGCGCAGUGAAAAGGCCCAAGCGACUGUUUACCAAAAACACAUGUCUCUGCUAAGCCGCAAGGCGAUGUAUAGGGACUGACACCUGCCCGGUGCUGGAAG